RNAcentral lists this non-coding RNA (117 nucleotides) under Pan paniscus (pygmy chimpanzee). Lineage: Eukaryota; Metazoa; Chordata; Mammalia; Primates; Hominidae. The record is from Rfam by way of RNAcentral. RNAcentral also lists the same sequence under 1 other name.
GCUGGGCGCGGUGGCUCACGCCUGUAAUCCCAGCAUUUUAGGAGGCUGAGGUGGGCGGAUCACCUGAGGUCAGGAGUUCCAGACCAGCCUGACCAACAUGGAGAAACCCCGUCUCUA